This is a long non-coding RNA of Gallus gallus (chicken), 1056 nucleotides long. RefSeq lists it as uncharacterized. The record is from RefSeq and is a predicted model, not a curated record. NCBI's taxonomy places the organism in Eukaryota, Metazoa, Chordata, Aves, Galliformes, Phasianidae. The transcript is spliced from 4 exons.
GAAUAUCAAGCUCAGGGUGUUUAAAACACUAGUUCAGCAUGUGGAAUUGGAAAGACUUUUGGAUACAUCUACUGUACUUGGGCUCAUGCCAACCGAAUCUGCCUGCCAAGAUGAAUUAAGUGGAAUGCUGGUGAAAUGUAGACCAUCUUGGUUCAUCUUUAUGGUUGAACUUGAUGAUCUUGGAGGUCUUCUCCAGCCUUAAUGAUUCUGUGGUUCUGUUAUCUUCACCUGAACUUUGAAUCCUCGGUGUCCAUAUCAGCUGAACAUUAGGGAUAGGAUUCUCACUUGGGUCUGCAGUCAGAAAGAUGGAUCACUGAACACCUCCAGGCUUGGGAUUUAGAAGGUCUCAGAUGAACCCUCAGCUCCUAUGGAAAUAAUAACAACUUAUCAAGGUUUUUAAAGGGACAACACUUUGGUCUCUAAUGGAAAUUUACUUCCAUUCCACCUUGUUAAGAGUUUGUUUACAUGGAAAUAAAUAGAAGGCAUUACUUUCGGAGCAAUCUAUAUGCGACCCAAGAAAAUUCCUCAUCACUCAGUGUGACUCAGACAAGCCAAAAAGUUGGACAUCCAUGAUUACGAUGAUUGCUAACCUUAACAAGAUUGGGAAUAAGAGUGAGGACCUCAAUCCUCGGUCCCAGUUUCCUCGGGGGAAUCAAUCCUUCCAUUAAAUAUCCAAGGAAGUUGCCGGUGGAUAUCUAUCCACAGUGAAUCUGGUGGCCAGAGUAGCUGGGUACAUUGAAUCCUCUACUUCAAAAGUCGAUGAGGUGUUGUUACUGUGAAUGUAAAACACAUGGGAGACGGAAGGGAGAAAAAGAAGGUGUGUGUCAUUUUGCAAUCAGUUCCCUAGAAAAAAAAAAAAAAAAACAGAUUAAGGUUUCUAUACUCUGAAUUUUAUCUGCCUCUUAUAGAGCUGUCAGGUUGAACACAGCUUUUGUAUUUAACAAAAAUAAUCAGGUAGGCCAUGAAUUUUAAUAAAACAAGCAACAGCUCUGGGACUGAUUGGAUUGCUUUGAUGUUCCAUUUUGUCCAGUAACCUUGAGAAAAAUAGUAUCGGGA